GGGCCCGCACAAGCGGUGGAGCAUGUGGUUUAAUUCGACGCAACGCGCAGAACCUUACCAGGGUUUGACAUCCUGUGCUCGGCUCAGAAAUGGGCUUUCCCCGCAAGGGGCGCAGAGACAGGUGCUGCAUGGCUGUCGUCAGCUCGUGUCGUGAGAUGUUGGGUUAAGUCCCGCAACGAGCGCAACCCUCGCCUUUAGUUGCCAUCAUUCAGUUGGGCACUCUAGAGGGACCGCCGGCGACAAGCCGGAGGAAGGUGGGGAUGACGUCAAGUCCUCAUGGCCCUUACACCCUGGGCUACACACGUGCUACAAUGACGGUGACAGUGAGCAGCUAGCGCGCGAGCGCAUGCUAAUCUCAAAAAACCGUCCCAGUUCAGAUUGCACUCUGCAACUCGGGUGCAUGAAGGCGGAAUCGCUAGUAAUCGCAGAACAGCAGGCUGCGGUGAAUACGUUCCCGGGCCUU
Molecule: ribosomal RNA, 463 nt
Filed under: uncultured bacterium
Lineage: Bacteria
Description: bacterial SSU rRNA
Rfam family: Bacterial small subunit ribosomal RNA
Source: RNAcentral